GACGAACGCUGGCGGCGUGCUUAACACAUGCAAGUCGAACGGGCCUUGUCCCCUUUUUUUUUGGGGGUGGGGUUAGUGGCGAACGGGCGAGUAACACGUGAGUAACCUGCCCCUCACUUCUGGAUAACCGCUUGAAAGGGUGGCUAAUACGGGGUGUUCUGGCCUGCUCGCAUGGGUGGGUUUGGAAAGAUUCGACCGGUUUUGGUUGUUUUGGUGGGGGAUGGGCUCGCGGCCUAUCAGCUUGUUGGUGGGGUGAUGGCCUGCCAAGGCUUUGACGGGUAGCCGGCCUGAGAGGGUGGGCGGUCACACUGGGACUGAGACACGGCCCAGACUCCUACGGGAGGCAGCAGUGGGGAAUAUUGCACAAUGGGCGCAAGCCUGAUGCAGCGACGCCGCGUGAGGGAUGGAGGCCUUCGGGUUGUGAACCUCUUUCGCCAGUGAAGAAGGUCCUGCUCUUUGUGGUGGGGUUGACGGUAGCUGGGUUAAUGAAGCGCCGGCUAACUACGUG
Molecule: ribosomal RNA, 508 nt
Filed under: uncultured bacterium
Lineage: Bacteria
Description: partial 16S ribosomal RNA
Rfam family: Bacterial small subunit ribosomal RNA
Source: RNAcentral